This 482-nucleotide ribosomal RNA is filed under the name uncultured Methanosaeta sp. RNAcentral's name for it is "bacterial SSU rRNA". It matches the Rfam family "Archaeal small subunit ribosomal RNA", at positions 856 to 1338 of the family's 1478-position model. The record is from RNAcentral. Lineage: Archaea; Methanobacteriati; Methanobacteriota; Methanomicrobia; Methanotrichales; Methanotrichaceae.
UUAAAGGAAUUGACGGGGAGCACCACAACGGGUGGAGCUUGCGGUUUAAUUGGAUUCAACGCCGGAAAUCUUACCGGGACCGACAGCAAUAUGAAGGGCCAGGCUGAAGACUUUGCCGGAUUAGCUGAGAGGUGGUGCAUGGCCGUCGUCAGUUCGUACUGUGAAGCAUCCUGUUAAGUCAGGCAACGAGCGAGACCCACGCCCACAGUUGCCAGCGUACUCUCUGGAGUGACGGGUACACUGUGGGACCGCCGCUGCUAAAGCGGAGGAAGGAAUGGGCAACGGUAGGUCAGUAUGCCCCGAAUAUCCCGGGCUACACGCGAGCUACAAUGGUUGGUACAAUGGGUAUCUACCCCGAAAGGGGACGGGAAUCUCCUAAAACCAAUCUUAGUUCGGAUUGAGGGCUGCAACUCGCCCUCAUGAAGCUGGAAUCCGUAGUAAUCGCGUUUCAACAGAACGCGGUGAAUACGUCCCUGCUCCUU